GUCUAUGGCCAUACUACCCUGAACAAGCCCAAUCUUGUCUGAUUUCAGAAGCUAAACAGGAUCAGGCAUCGUUAGUACUUGGAUGGGAGACCACCUAGGAAGACCAUGUGCUGUAGGCG
Molecule: ribosomal RNA, 119 nt
Organism: Pteropus vampyrus (large flying fox)
Lineage: Eukaryota; Metazoa; Chordata; Mammalia; Chiroptera; Pteropodidae
Source: Ensembl